Molecule: long non-coding RNA, 711 nt
Organism: Ipomoea triloba (trilobed morning glory)
Lineage: Eukaryota; Viridiplantae; Streptophyta; Magnoliopsida; Solanales; Convolvulaceae
Exons: 3
Source: RefSeq, a predicted model, not a curated record
CAUUUCUACCCACCGGAACGGCGCCGGCGUCGGCGUCCUAUCCACCACCGUACCUCAGCUCGCAUUCUGGCCUCCACUUCUCUCUCCUCACUGCUCGCUCGCCAUCGAUUCAUAGAUGUUGUUUUAUUGAUUUGUAUGAAUGGUGAAUGAAGAUGUGAUGAAGCAGGAAAGCAGGCAAUAAUUCAACUGCUGUUACCUGGAUCUAGCAAAUAUUCAAGGGAAACAGGCAAAAAUUGAAGUGCUGUUAGCAGGAUAAAGAACAAUAAUAGCAUAUAUUUAAGCACGUACGUACGAGAGGACUUUGUUGACUCCAGAAACCGCAUCAAAGAUUUCGACGGCCAAAUUUGAAGGAGCUCCGUAGAAGACUCGGCCAACAGCAGCAACGGUAGGGAAUUGAACGGCAAAGAUAAUUUCUACCAUUUUGGUCUAUUUUUGAGAGGUCCAUAUUAAUUUUUAGAUUAAUUAUUUUCCUUAAUUUAAGAGUUUUUGUUGGGAUUAGGAGUGUAUAAAUAGUAGUGAUUUUCUGUAGUUGAGGGAAUCAGACUAUCUGUUUUAUUUUAUAUUUUCAUACAAUUUUUUUUUUCUUUUCUUGUUAAGUUUUUGGUUCAUGGCCCUGCGAGGCUAAUUCUUAAACUUGGUCAAGAUUAUGUGAACCCCGGUUCUCUGUACUGAGAGACAAAGUUCUGUUUUAUUGAGUUAAUUUAUCUGCAA